This is a non-coding RNA of Amborella trichopoda, 4019 nucleotides long. Lineage: Eukaryota; Viridiplantae; Streptophyta; Magnoliopsida; Amborellales; Amborellaceae. The record is from RefSeq and is a predicted model, not a curated record.
ACGUCCGUUACCUCUUCAAACGUCUACCCCUUCCGUAAUGCCUGUUUGUGGACCUGGAGAUGUUCUAACGGCCGUGAUCCCCUGACCGUUAGGGCAAGGCGCGGAAAGAUAAGCCGAUAUCGAAUUUUCUCAGAUUUCGGCGAAAAUUUAAAACUACGGCUGAGUAUUUGAUUUGAGUUUGAGACGAGGACCAAAAUCGUUCAGUUACUUAAAACUGUAUUUCGCCAUUUUCCCUGCUCGAAGCGAAACCCUAAUUUUUGAACGGCUGACCUACCGGCAUGAAGGAAUUAUGUUUAAGCGUUAAAUUUUAACCAAAAAAUUCCCAUUUUUUCCAUGAACAAUUUCUUCAUCUCUGCUUUGCCUCUUGUUUGAAACCCUAAUUACGAGAGCCCGAUUUCCUCCAUAAAAUUUCUCAGGUAAACCUAAUUCCUUGAUCCGGAAUAUUUAUUGAGCCAGUGGUAAUCAGGUACUUUCUCUCUAUUCAUUUGUAGAUAUUGAUAAUUAUCUCUUGUGUGCUAUUCUUUUGGAGAAUUUCAUGAGUUUGAAGAGUGAGAAAUGGAAAAUGAUGGGCCAUUGCUUGGUUGAUACAACAUCUGAAUCAUGAAAAACUUAAUAAAUGAAUAAGUAACGGAAACCAUGAAUUGCGCUGUUUGGUAAAUUAAUUUUGUUGAUUUAUGGAUAGGAUAUGGAAAACCAGCGGGGGAUUAAGAAUGUUGGGGAAUUAUCAGAAAUUUGCAUCAUUGUUAUGGUAUAAGAUGAUAGUUUGUUACUGGUUAUUGGUGGCAUGUUUUCAUCCAGGUUUCAUUCUUCUUCAAAGUGUGAUGUAUGUAGAGUAAAAUGCAGAUCUCUUUGUCAAUUUUGAUGAUGAAGAUUAUUUCCAGCUCACUUUGGAGCAUGCAGAUGGUUUCUUAAAGCUCAAGUUAACUGUUUGUGACAUAAUUAUUAAACAUAAUAGUUAGAUUAUUAAAUGAAAUAUGUUAAAAAGAGUUGCUCUGACCUCUCAAAAAGUAGGAACCAGAGUCUAGACUCUUUGUAUGAGUUUUUAUUUCUUAAAAUUACAUGCUGCUGGUUCAAAACAUUGAAUCCAUUUAGUACCAUUCAUUCUUUUCUUGUAAGUUUGCUUAUACAACUCAUGGAAUAUGUAAAAAAUUACGAGUAUGUUAGAAAUUUCUUUGUUGUUUUGAUAUACAACAGAAAGAAAAGGAAAAUUAUUACUUUGUUUUUAUUGUUUAUGGGUGAUGGUGUUCUUCUCAUUUUGUGUAAUUAAAGGUUCGUGUUGAAUUUGCAACUUGACUGCUUAUUGGACACUAAUACCCUUUCAUAUUUCUAAUCAUGUGCAACUUUACAUAGUUUCUAGUUCUAAAUUAUCUUGUCCAAUAUGUGUCGUUCAUCUUUUAUCGAAUACUCCAUUUUGUGCUAGUUCCUUCGUGCUACAGUUAUGGAUUGUGGGUGUGCUUUCUUGAAUGUUCUUGGAUUUUCCGUCCUAUGUCAAUUCUGGAUUAUUUUCUUUUAUUACAUUAAUGCAUCGGUAUUUUUCUUUUUAUAGUCAGUAUGACUAUGUGCCACAUAGAUAAUGUCUAUGUACGUCACAAAUAGAAUAUGGUGACACACCAUUCAUCGAAUUUGAUCUUGAAUAUGGUUCUAAGUGGGGGCGGCCGGUUUUGGAUUUAUUUUAAGGAGUUUCUACCACUAGGUAAUUCCCAUUAUUUGUUGUUGAUAUGAUUGAUUGAACUCUUACCUGCUGCACUACAAGUCAUUAUGUCGCCAUUACGUGAUUUUGGGAAUUUAAAUGAACUUUACUCCAUAUCUGGUGAUUUGAGAGAUGCCUUAAAAGUACUGUAGAAAAUUGUACAAUUUGUAUGAUAUCCAGUGUCUAUGACAAAAAUCAAGGAGCUGUUCAACAAUUUUUAUCCUUGAGAGACGAGUACAUCAUUUUUGGUCAAUCUUAAUAUUAAAACCACCCUACUCCAUAUCCAUGUUUCCGUUCCCAUCGACCUCCUUCCCAAUGACCCCCUUCAAAUUAUAUUGUCAUUACAUGGCAUUUUCGUCCACCAUUGCUUCCCAUCUGACUGCUGAAAAUGGCCCUACCUGGUCUUCCAAUAUCCCAACUACCCUCUAUCACACUUUGAACCCAUGCCAGCUACCCUCCCUCAUUAUAUAAACAUGAUUUUUAAAGGCUCUUAGUUAUUUUCUGUAUAUUCUUUGGACACUCUUCCUUUCUUGUUCAUAAAAUGAGCGUGGUUUUCUGUUAUUAGAGAUCACUCCUUACAGUGUAUUUAAGCAAAUGAAUCUCUGGAGCUGUUUUCAAAGCAUCCCAUUUUCCAAUCCCCCUUGAAUUUAGUAGAGUGAUAUUUCCUUGUGCAGCUGAUCUCUUCAGGAAUUUUAUUAUAUCACUGCAUAUCCCAUGAUCCCUUCUCUUAUCUUCCUGGGAAAGAAAGAAUUUGUACUUUGGGCUUGCAAAAGUGUUUCUUUUACUGUUGUUCUUCUGGUGGUUAUGCUUUGGGAUGUAAUUUGUACAAAUGCAAUGCCCAAAGUGGUGAGAGCUGGGUUGAUUUAAUAUGAAGUGCUGUGUUAUGUAGUUAUCAGUGAGAUAUAUCAUGUUUAUAUGAUUGUGGCUGAUUUUCACUUUUUUUCUUCUAACUAAAUGACUUCAUUUUUCUUAUAAAGUUUUUUUUUUGUUGCUGUUAUAUACUGUUAUAUAUGAUGCUUACAACUAUAAUAUGUAUAAACGUUGGCAUUUUGGAUGCAUUUGAUAUAUCUUGUAAUUCAUUCUUGUGUCUUGAGUUGCUUCUUUUUUGGCUGCUAAUAGCCUCUCAGUACUUCAGGGUUCAAUUCUGUUUUUCACUCCUUUUUUUCCAAAGAUCAUUUCUACAACUUGAGUUGACAUUUUAAGAGUUUGUAAGUGGUCCUUUCUGUGAGCUUUAAGACUGUAGCUUUCUUGGUGGGCUUUGUAAGUGAAUCACAUAAUAGGUUUCUAGUAGAUUACCUUCUGACGUCUGGUAGUUGAAUGUAAUAGGCUUGGCCAUCUUUUGCUGCAUGCCAUUGGCAUCAUCAAGUGGGGGUGUCUCUGACACAGGUGGAGAGAUUGCAAUACAACUUUUUAUGGAUAGACAAAGUUGGGAAUAAAGGAAUUCAUCUUGUGAACGGAAGGAAAACUAUAUGCCUCACACUGAAAGAUGGACGCUUUGGGAUUCGUGAUAUUUCAGACUUCAACAUUGCAGGCAUGAUGAAGUUGGCAUGGAGAGUCAUGAUUAAUCCAUCCUCUUUAAUAGCAUGUUUUUUAGGCACAGGCAUUUCAAAAACUCAUCUAUAAUGGGGAGCUUUACGAAAGAGUUCUUCGUGUGCGUAGAAGGGUAUACAAAUGCGCAUAUCUUUCUUGCAACACAAUGUUUGAUGAAUUAUUGGGGAUAGCAGGUCAGUGGAUUUUUGGACGGAUCCGUGGUUAUCAGAAAUAUCGAUUGGGGAGUCUUAUGGUAAUCAUAUCUAUAUGACUCUAAGGCCUCUGGCUAAAGCAAAGGUCGUAGACUAUAUACAGGGUUCCCCAUAGACGUUGCAUCUUUUCUCUCCUACAUCUAGCCCUCUAUUAAAAGCAUGGAACUAGGUGGAGCAGGCAUGGGAGGAGGAGGUCGCAUUCAUAAUUCCUUUAAAACCAUAGUGAUUUUUUGGUAUGGACUCACUCUCCUAACGGGCUAUUCUUGGUCAAGGACAUGUAACAUUUUAUUUGGCGCAAGGGUUCUCCCCAACCCAUCUUCAAAAUGCUGUGGUCUUCAAGGUGCCCUCCUAAGGCGAAAUGGUUCUCUUAGUUGACCCUCUAUUACCGACUCCCUACCUCCACUCUAUUGUAGUGGAGAGGGAUCAACGUGGCUUAUGUAUGCAUGCCCUUUUUGCUAUUAUAACAAUGACAAUAUAUGUCAUCUAUUGCUUUAUUUGUUCUAUUACAGGGGAUAUGAAGAUAGAUCGUAUGGAGAUGUGGUAAAAUAUUUAUUUUUUAUUCAUUCAUUGUAUUUACAUUGAGGAAA